AACGAAGUGAAUUGAAAUAUCUUAGUAACUUUAGGAAAAGAAAUCAAACGAGAUUAAUAUUUAGUGUAAACUAAAUAUUAAAAGCCUAAUAACAAAACUUGUUAAGUAAAAUGGAUUCAAAUCUGUUUGAAUAAAGGGGAACCUUCCUCUAAGGCUAAAUAUAAUAUAUAAGCGAUAGUGAAAAGUACCGUGAGGUAAAAUUUGAAAUAGUAGUUUUAUAAGCAGCUCAAAUAAAAUUUAAAUAAAAAAUAAGAGCGUACCUUUUGCAUAAUGGGUCAGCAAGUUAAUUUUAGAUGCAAGUAAAGAUAACCAAUUUAAAUUAUAAAAAGUUAUGAUUAAAAAGGUUAUUUUAACUUAGAUAAACCAAUUAUGAAAAAAUGAGUUAGUAUCUAAAAUUAGACCCGAAGGCUAGUGAUCUUACCAUGGUCAGGGUUAUAAAAGCCCGAACGGGUUAUCGUUGUAUAGAUAUCCGAAGAAUUGUGGUAAGUUAGUGAAAGACAAAACUGACUAGUAUAGCUGGUUUUCCGCGAAACCUAUAUGAGUAGGUAAUUUAAUUAACAUCUUAGCAGGUACAGAACUGUGAUCUCGGAUAAUAUCAAUUGAUUUUAUCAACAUCGGGGGGUUGUAGUGACUUUACUGGAGAGUAUUUGCACUCGGAAUGGCAAAGAUGAAUGUUGAAUAAUCGGACAUAGUGCGAUAAGGUUGUAUGUCAAAAGGGAAACAGCCCAGAACAAGAGUUAAGGUUCCAAAAUUAUUGUUGAGUGAAAUUAAGGAUGUUUAUUAUUAAUACAAUCAGGAAAUAGGCUUAGAAGGGGCCAUUUUUUGAAGACCUCGUAACAGAGCACUGAUUAAAUUUUAGUAAUAAACACCAAAAAUUUAACGGAUCUAAACAAUAUACCGAAACCUUGUACACAUAUUAUAAUAAUUAUAUAUAUUAAUUAAUAUAUAUUGUAUAUGUGGGGUAGCGGAACAUUGGAUAAAUAUUAUUUAUUAUUACUUCUAAGAUAUAAUAAGUAUAAAUAUUAUUUUAAUAAUAAUAAUUUAUCAAUAUAAUCCAAGAGAGAAUGCUGACAUGAGUAACGAAAAAGGAAUAACCUCGCCUUAAGCUUAUAUGGUAUUGUAUUAAAUUUUCGGUGUCUAAAAAUAUUAAUCAAAAGGUAAUUUUGAUGAUAUUUAUAUAUGUACUAAAUAUUAAUUAGAGUAUAUAAUACUCUUAGUUAAUAAAAGUAAAAAAUAAAACCUUUAAAAAGUAAUAAAGGUUCUGGAAAAUUUUUUACUAUAUUAUAUAUAUAUUUUAUUUAGAGCCUUAGGGACUAGUUAUAUAAUUUCUUGUUAAAGUUUUCAAGAUUGUAUAAAGUAUAAUUUUAAUAUAAAAUUAUACAAUAAUAUAUAUAUAUAAUAAGUUAUAUAUAUACCGUACCUAGAUACUAUCACAAGUAAGCAAGUAGAGAAUACAAAGGCGUUUGAGUGAACAAUCAUUAAGGAACUCGGCAAAUUGACUACCGUAACUUCGGGAUAAGGAGGGCCAUUAUUAUAAUAUUUAACGUAUAUAUGUCUGUAAAAAGAUAUAUAUAUGAUAUAAUUAAAUAUAUAAUAAGAGGAAACAUAAAAUAAUGUUGUACGACUGUUUAAUAAAAACACAGCACUCUGCAAAGAUUAAAUAUCAAAGUAUUGAGUGUGAUGUCUGCCCAAUGUCGGCAGGGUAACGAAUCUUCCUUGGUAUAUAACUAAGGUUUUGAAGGACACCCCGAUAAAUGGCGGCCUUAUCUAUGAGGGUCCUAAGGUAGCGAAAUACCUUGGCCGUUAAAUGCGGUCCUGCAUGAAUGACAUAACGAUACAACAGCUGUCUCGAUGAUUGUCUCAGUGAAAUUGGAAUAGCAGUGCAGAUACUGUUUACCUCUAGAUAAACGAGAAGACCCUAUGCAGCUUUACUGUUACCAGUUGCAAAAGUUAAAUUUUAGGAUGUUUUCGAGAGUAUAAGGUAGUUGAAAGAUAACAAUGAAACACCUUUAUUCGUUUCCUUAUAUAUGCUUUUGAAGAUUGGAAGGCAGUUUAUGCGGGGCACAGAUCCCACAAAAAGUACAUGGGUAUAUCCAAAGUUCAUAUUGUAAAUUUGUAAUUUUAUUACAAAUAUUUUAAUUUGUUAUAUUUAUUUUUAUAAAUAUACAGUUAUUGUUAAAUUAAGUUCAAUAUUUAUUUUUAUCUAAGUAAGAUUUUAACUAUAUGGUUAAUAGAUGUAUUUAAAACUUUAAUAUUUAAAAGUUUUUUGUCAUAUUAAUUUUGUAUAUUAUCUUAAUUAAUAUGAUGAUUAAUUAUACUUUAAAAGUUUAAUGGCUAAAUCUUGCUUUAUCGUUUGACCUACAAGUUCAUCAGUUGCGUAAGCGGGGCAUAUGAUCACAAGAUGCAUUAAGGAAAGGUCUUGGAUUAUAGAAAAAGUUACGCUAGGGAUAACAGGCUAAUUUGCGCAAGAGAGUACAAAUUGAGUGCGCGGUUUGGCACCUCGAUGUCGGCUUAGCUCAUCCACAUGAAUGCAAAAAUCAUGAAGGGUUCGACUGUUCGUCGAUUAAAGAGCUACAUGAGCUGGGUUUAAUACGUCGUGAGACAGUAUGGUUUCUAUCUUCUAGAGGGAAUUAAAGUAGAAUAAAGAUAGCCCCUUCGUACGAAAGGAGUUGGGUAUAUUGACCUAUGGUUUACCUAUUGUUUAUGUUAUAUAUAUAUUUUAUAUAUAUAUCAUUUACUUAUACUUAAGUAAAUUGUUCGCAUAGGCAUGGUAGGAAGGCUACGUCAGUUAAAGAUAAGUGCUGAAAGCAUUUAAGCGCGAAGCUUACUUUAGGAUACUUUAAAACGUAGUAGAACACUACGAG
This 2864-nucleotide ribosomal RNA is filed under the name Aspergillus nidulans. Its description in RNAcentral is "LSU rRNA". It matches the Rfam family "Bacterial large subunit ribosomal RNA". Lineage: Eukaryota; Fungi; Ascomycota; Eurotiomycetes; Eurotiales; Aspergillaceae. The record is from RNAcentral.